UAUAUAUAUAUAUAUAUAUAUAUUUAAUUUAUUUUUUAUUAUUAUUAUUUUCAAGUCGCCGCCCUUUAAAGGAGCGGGUGCAGUGAACUGUAAUUGUGAAAAGAUUGGAAGAUCUGGCCAAAGAAGGUGAUAGCCCUGUAGAUUCAUUCCCAUGGUUCAAUCUAUAGAUUAGCUAUAGAUCACCUUCCAGUAGAAGGUUUUAUGCAUUCAGUCAAUCUACGCAGAGUGAAUCGGUCCCUAAGGAACCCCCGAAAUGGUUGUCAUCCGAUGGGUACACGAAAGUGACGAAGUUGCUUUGACUACAGAACCAUGCAUGUCUGUUGGAGCGAAUUGGAUGAUCGGGCCGAGGGCUGCCCCCUCUUCCCCUCACCCUCCUUUCCCUAAUAUGAACCUUGAGACAUCAAAGCCUUUCUCACUCGGCCUAGCCCGGUCGCCCUAUGCGACUGGCACUUCAAAAGGCAAAACUCUCGGUUGUAGUUUGGAGACCUAUCUUCAGUAUGGGCCUUUAGUCUUUUGAUUAGAGUAGGGGUCGCAAGAGAGUAGAGCGUACCGCCUUGCCAUAGUCACGAGUCUAUUUAUAAUCGCGACUGUUGUCAUAGUCAACAAGGUUGAAACUUCUAGGAAAAAACUUCGAAUUGGGAGGGCGAUCCUCUCGGUGAACUGACCGUACCCCAAACUGACAGAGAUGAACAAGUAGAGUAUACUAGGGCGCUUGAGAGAACCAUGUCAAAGAAACUCGGCAAAAUCACCCCGUAACUUCAGGAGAAAGGGUGCUCUCCUAUCUUUUGAUUAGGAAAGAGACACAUACCAGGGGAUAGGCAAUGUUUAUUAAAAACACAGGACUCUGCUAAGUGGUAACACGAUGUAUAGAGUCUGACACCUGCCCGGUGCUGGAAGGUCCGAAGGAGAAGUGUUAUAUGCUUUGAAUAGAAGCCCCGGUAAACGGCGGCAGUAACUCUAACUGUCCUAAUAUAGCAAAAUUCCUGCACGAAUAGUGUAACGACUGCCCCGCUAUCUCCGACAUGGACCCGGUUAAAUUGAAUUCUCCGUGAAGAUGCGGAGUACCAACGGCUAAACGGUAAGACCUUGUGCACCUUAACUAUAGCAGGUUCGAAGUGACAACCUUAAUUGAAUCUGUAGGAUAGGUAGGAGGUGGUGACACACAACGACCAAUCCUGAAAGACCACUCUUUCGUCUAAGGAUGCCUAACCACCGCACCGAUCAUUCGAGGGGAGGAGGGACACUGUGAGGUGGGUAGUUUAUUUUGGGCAGAUGCCUCCUAAAGAGUAAAAGAGGUGUGCGAAGGUAGGAUCAAGCUAAGAUUCUGCUCGUGAGCGUAAUGGUAUAAGCCCGCCUGACUGUGAGACCGACAGGUCGAAUAGAGAUGAAAGUCGGCAAUAGUGAUCCAGGAGUCCCGUGAGGAAGGGCUCUCGCUGAGCGGAUCAAAGGUACACCGAGGAUAACAGGCUAAUGACUCCCAAGAGCUCUUAUCGAAGGAGUCGUUUGGCACCUUGAUGUCCACUCAUCACAUCCUGGGGUUGAAGAAAAUCCCAAGGAUUCGGUUGUUCGUCGAUUUAAGUGGUACGUGAGUUAGGUUUAGAACGUCAUGAGACAGUUUGGUUCCUAUCUACCGUUAGUGUUAAAGAGAGAACUGCGAGGAGCCAACCCUAGUACGAGAGGACUGGGUUGGGCUAACCUAUGGUGUACUAGUUGUUAUGCCAAUAGCAGCGCUAAGAAACUAAGUUGGUAUGGAAGAACUGUUGUGCCGCGGGAAAUACUUCUCUAUACAAGUUCUCGUAUGAGGUUUUUGAACAGAACUUCGAUAGGCGAGAGGGGUAAGCACCGCGAGGUGUGAAGCGAUCUCGUACUAAAUGAAACGACUUUCACUU
Molecule: ribosomal RNA, 1889 nt
Filed under: Nicotiana tomentosiformis
Lineage: Eukaryota; Viridiplantae; Streptophyta; Magnoliopsida; Solanales; Solanaceae
Description: bacterial LSU rRNA
Rfam family: Bacterial large subunit ribosomal RNA
Source: RNAcentral